AUUGAACGCUGGCGGCAGGCCUAACACAUGCAAGUCGAGCGAGCGGCGGACGGGUGAGUAAUGUAUGGGGACUUCCCGAUAGAGGGGGAUAACUACUGGAAACGGUAGCUAAUACCGCAUACUAUCGGAUAACCCAUAUGGGAUUAGCUAGUAGGUGCGGUAAUGGCUCACUUAGGCGACGAUCCCUAGCUGGUCUGGGAGGAGGAUCAGCCACACUAGGACUGAGACACGGCCCAGACUACUACGGAGGCAGCAGGGGGGAAGAUUGCACAAUGGGCGCAAGCCUGAUGCAGCCAUGCCGCUUGUAUGAAGAAGGCCCUAGGGUUGUAAAGUACUUUCAGUCGGGAGGCGUUACCGACAGAAGAAGCACCGGCUAACUCCGUGCCAGCAGCCGCGGUAAUUC
Molecule: ribosomal RNA, 403 nt
Filed under: uncultured bacterium
Lineage: Bacteria
Description: partial 16S ribosomal RNA
Rfam family: Bacterial small subunit ribosomal RNA
Source: RNAcentral